GAAACUCCCAGCACAGAACGCAAAGCAGUAAAGAAGAUGAUUCAGACAUGGAUUUGGCAUUCAAGCCUCGGCCGUAGGGAAUUCCAGUAAUGGAUUCAGCAUCAUCUUUCAGAAGUGACAAGUUGUUUUGGACUUCUGUCAUCUCUCUGAGACAUCAAGCACUAAAACACUCCUUUCAAGGCUAUCUACUCAUCUUAUAGUCACAAAGCAUAUUUAAGGCUGUCAGCAUGGUGUAAAUGAGGCUUUUAUAUGUUCAUGUCAGACUAUGCAUGGUCUCCUUCCUGGUAAAGAAGCUCAAUCAAUGCAAUAACAGGAAAUAUGUGACUAGCCACUGUUAAAGCAAUAGCAUGGAAAGGACAGUUCGAUAAACCAAGAUAAACUGAUAUAUCUCCAAAGUUACAGCAUUGCUCAACAAAGUUCAGAUCUUUUUCCUCAUCAUGAAGCUAUUCCACUCAAUUGGUCACUCAGCUGCAAGGUAAAUUUGGCUGAACAAGCUUUGAUGCAGUGAUGCAUAUCUGUAUCCCUACUCACUCUGCUUCGUCUCGGAGGGAAUCAGGGAGCAUGGUGUGUCCAAAUUUAUUAUGGUGACUUGUCCCUUUUCUUUUGGCUUCUACAAGCUUCUUUGAGGACCUACAGCACACUUUAUUAUGCUCUUGUAAGCAGCAUGGGCUUUCAUUCUUCGAUGUAACUUUUUGAAAUAAAGUGACUGGUGAUGGAAGCUGCUCCUUUUCUCCACUGAGGUAGCAUGGCUUGUGUCACUGGUCUUACCAUGUCGCAAACUAGAAUCUUUCAGCUUGCGAGGACUCAAAGUAGACCAUCCAUAAGAGAUGAGAAAGACAUAAAUCUGGCGGCCUGCAGGUUGGUUGGCAAAACCAAGGAGGAGGGUGACAAAAGCAAUCAGAGAGACUGAAAAUAGAGGAGCUUGUGGAAGGAUGUGGGAGAAGAGUGGUGGCUGAGGCACAGAGAGAGAAGGUAGUAGCUUGCCUUGAUAGGCACUGACCUCAGCUGAAGGCAAUCUUUUCACCUUAGUUCUGUUUUAUGGGAUUUCUCCUGGUGUGCAUUGAUGGAUGUACUCUGUCCCAUCUUCUAUAACAUUGGAUGGGAUCUUUAGAGCUAGGAAAUCACAGCACUAGAACAGAGAGGAUGGAAGGAUUUCCUGUGUUUUCCCCCAUGGAAUUGUCAAGAUUUGGUGCCACAAGAGACUCUUGCUUCAGUUUAACA
Molecule: non-coding RNA, 1221 nt
Organism: Musa acuminata subsp. malaccensis (wild Malaysian banana)
Lineage: Eukaryota; Viridiplantae; Streptophyta; Magnoliopsida; Zingiberales; Musaceae
Source: RefSeq, a predicted model, not a curated record